RNAcentral lists this ribosomal RNA (2786 nucleotides) under Qipengyuania citrea LAMA 915. Its description in RNAcentral is "bacterial LSU rRNA". It matches the Rfam family "Bacterial large subunit ribosomal RNA". Lineage: Bacteria; Pseudomonadati; Pseudomonadota; Alphaproteobacteria; Sphingomonadales; Erythrobacteraceae. The record is from RNAcentral.
UGAGGUAAGAGCAUUUGGUGGAUGCCUUGGCAUGUGCAGGCGAUGAAGGACGUGGCACGCUGCGAUAAGCGUCGGGGAGAUGUGAGCAAUCUUUGAUCCGGCGAUUUCCGAAUGGGGAAACCCACCCUCACCAUUUCCUUUCGAUUGUUUUCGGACAGUCGGAAAGAGGUGGAUAGGGUAUCACCAGACUGAAUACAUAGGUUUGGUGAAGCGAACCCGGGGAACUGAAACAUCUCAGUACCCGGAGGAAAAGACAUCAACAGAGAUUCCCGUAGUAGUGGCGAGCGAACCGGGACCAGGCCAGUGCCUUCAUUUCAACUAGCAAAACACUUUGGAAAGAGUGGCCAUAGCGGGUGACAGCCCCGUAUGCGAAAGUGAUGAUGAAGGACUCGAGUAGGGCGGGACACGUGAAAUCCUGUCUGAACAUGGGGGGACCACCCUCCAAGCCUAAAUACUCGCACAUGACCGAUAGCGAACACAGUACCGUGAGGGAAAGGUGAAAAGCACCCCGAUUAGGGGAGUGAAACAGUACCUGAAACCGGAUGCUUACAAGCAGUUGGAGCCCCAUAGGGGGUGACAGCGUACCUCUUGCAUAAUGGGUCAGUGACUUAAUCUACCAUGCAAGCUUAAGCCGUUAGGUGUAGGCGCAGCGAAAGCGAGUCUGAAUAGGGCGACUGAGUAUGAUGGAUUAGACCCGAACCCCGGCGAUCUAGGCAUGGCCAGGUUGAAGGUGCAGUAACAUGCACUGGAGGACCGAACCGGUGAAUGUUGAAAAAUUCUCGGAUGAGCUGUGUUUAGGGGUGAAAGGCCAAUCAAGCCGGGAAAUAGCUGGUUCUCCGCGAAAUCUAUUGAGGUAGAGCGUCGGAUGUAUGCCGAUGGGGGUAGAGCACUGGAUGGGCUAGGGCUGCGCGAGCGGUACCAAACCUAACCAAACUCCGAAUACCAUCGAGUCUUAUCCGGCAGACAGACGGCGGGUGCUAAGGUCCGUCGUCAAAAGGGAAACAGCCCUAACCUACAGCUAAGGUCCCCAAGUCAUAUCUAAGUGGGAAAGCAUGUGGGAAUCCCAAAACAACCAGGAGGUUGGCUUAGAAGCAGCCAUCCUUUAAAGAAAGCGUAACAGCUCACUGGUCUAAACAAGGGUUCCUGCGGCGAAGAUGUAACGGGGCUAAAGAUAUGCACCGAAGCUUAGGGUUCAGAAUUUAUUCUGAGCGGUAGCGGAGCGUUCCGUAAGCGAGUGAAGGCGAAGGGUAACCGACGCUGGACGUAUCGGAAGUGCGAAUGCUGACAUGAGUAGCGACAAACAGGGUGAGAUGCCCUGUCGCCGAAAGACCAAGGGUUCCUGCGCAACGCUAAUCGGCGCAGGGUUAGCCGGCCCCUAAGACGAGCCCGAAGGGGGUAGUCGAUGGGAACCACGUAAAUAUUCGUGGGCCUGAAGAUGUGUGACGGAUCGUGGAAGUUGUUUUCUCUUAUUGGAUUGAGAGGGCAGCCAAGCGGUUCCAGGAAAUAGCCUCUUCACUAUAGACCGUACCCGAAACCGACACAGGUGGUCAGGUAGAGUAUACCAAGGCGCUUGAGAGAAGUAUCCUGAAGGAACUCGGCAAAUUGCCUCCGUACCUUCGGAAGAAGGAGGCCCCAUAUCGACGCAAGUCUUUGUGGGGGGCACAGGCCAGGGGGUAGCGACUGUUUAGCAAAAACACAGCACUCUGCUAAGUCGGCUUCAAGACGACGUAUAGGGUGUGACGCCUGCCCGGUGCUCGAAGGUUAAGAGGAGGAGUGCAAGCUCCGAAUUGAAGCCCGAGUAAACGGCGGCCGUAACUAUAACGGUCCUAAGGUAGCGAAAUUCCUUGUCGGGUAAGUUCCGACCUGCACGAAUGGCGUAACGACUUCCCCACUGUCUCCAGGAUAUGCUCAGCGAAAUUGAAUUCUCCGUGAAGAUGCGGAGUACCCGCGGUUAGACGGAAAGACCCCGUGCACCUUUACUGCAGCUUCAGAGUGGCAUUAGGAAAUUACUGUGUAGAAUAGGUGGGAGGCUUUGAAACAUCGGCGCCAGCUGGUGUGGAGCCAACCUGUGAAAUACCACCCUGUGAUUUUCUGAUGUCUAACCACGCACCGUUAUCCGGUGUUGGGACCCUCUGUGGCGGGUAGUUUGACUGGGGCGGUCGCCUCCUAAAGAGUAACGGAGGCGCGCGAUGGUAUGCUCAGGACGGUUGGAAACCGUCUGCAAGAGUGCAAUGGCAUAAGCAUGCCUGACUGCGAGACCGACAGGUCGAGCAGAGACGAAAGUCGGUCAUAGUGAUCCGGUGGUCCCUCGUGGAAGGGCCAUCGCUCAACGGAUAAAAGGUACGCCGGGGAUAACAGGCUGAUGAUUCCCAAGAGCUCAUAUCGACGGAAUCGUUUGGCACCUCGAUGUCGGCUCAUCACAUCCUGGGGCUGGAGCAGGUCCCAAGGGUUUGGCUGUUCGCCAAUUAAAGUGGUACGUGAGCUGGGUUCAGAACGUCGCGAGACAGUUUGGUCCCUAUCUGCCGUGGGCGUCGAUUGUUGAAAGGAGUUGCCCCUAGUACGAGAGGACCGGGGUGAACAUACCUCUGGUGUACCUGUCAUCCUGCCAAGGGUGCCGCAGGGUAGCUAUGUAUGGACGGGAUAACCGCUGAAAGCAUCUAAGCGGGAAGCCUCCCUUGAGAUAAGCAAUCUUCGAACCGUCAUAGACCAUGACGUUGAUAGGCCGGGUGUGGAAGCGCAGUAAUGCGUGUAGCUAACCGGUCCUAAUAGUUCUUUUCGCGCUUGUA